CAUUCAUUCCCUGUCAUUUUUCUCUUUCAGGUUUUCCCCUCUCCUUCCAUGCUCUCCAUUGCUUCUGUUGUUUUACCUGCUAUGGAAAGGCACCCACUGUCUUGUGGUAGUGUAGUAGAAGUCCCAGAAAUGAUUGGUUUAAGUGCCACCAAGACAUUUGCUGGAAUGAUUAAAGUGGGAAGAAUAUACAGAGAAGUUAGAGCCUGGGAAUAAUGGAUGGACUUUAGCCACAACCUAUCUGAUACAAACACACAGUUGCAGGUAGCACUAGAGUCAGUAAGUCAGAUUGAUUAAUGGAUGUGAGCAACUCAGAAUAAGUGGCAUUUCAGAGACAAUAAAUCUUACAGAAC
This 350-nucleotide long non-coding RNA is filed under the name Fukomys damarensis (Damara mole-rat). RNAcentral's name for it is "lncRNA (ENSFDAG00000029299.1)". Lineage: Eukaryota; Metazoa; Chordata; Mammalia; Rodentia; Bathyergidae. The record is from RNAcentral.